Dreissena polymorpha is the source of this 832-nucleotide long non-coding RNA. RefSeq lists it as uncharacterized. The record is from RefSeq and is a predicted model, not a curated record. The transcript is spliced from 7 exons. Lineage: Eukaryota; Metazoa; Mollusca; Bivalvia; Myida; Dreissenidae.
UUAUAACAAGUAGAAUUAAUUUGUUUAUGAAAAGUUAUACGUAGGUGCUAUUGUCGACAACCCACUGAAUUUAAAAUACAAUCAUGUCUAUGAUAUGAAUGAUAUGAUAUUUUAUGGAGAACUGAAUACAAGGAGGUGAGAGCUCAAUUAAUGCAGUUGGCCAAGAAACUGCAGAGGAAAGAUAUAACCUUAGCAGGUGUGGAAUCAAACAACAGCUGAAAUGAUUGACAAUUUGAAAGCCAAAUCAAGGAAAUAGCGAAACUCAGUUUCUGGCUGGCGAAUGCAACAAGCGACUAUUGGCAGUAGACCUUACCUUCAAUCAGGAUGAUGUUUUGACACAGUGGCAGAGGGUCAAAUUGUUAGCAAAAAGCUUGUUCACAGACCAGCAGAGGACCCAACCACUGACUUGAUGAAGCUUGUAAAGACAAGAAGAAGAUGAAGCUGGGCCAAGCCACACUUGACGACUUGCUUCAGAUCAAGCUUGUUACGCCAGCCUUAAGUAACUAUGACCCAGAAGACUCUAUUGAUCAGUGGCUGACUGCAUCUAACAAACCUCGUGGAGGGAGAAGGUUGGAAUACAGCAGGUUGAAAACAAGUCAUAAAUGCAAAAACAGAACAUGAAGACAGGACAGGAAAUGCCCCCAAGGAUUCCCAGCCUGGGCCACUUCAAAACUAUGCAGAAGACACAACAGAAGAGUACAGUGAAGAUGACAUAAAGCGUUUAAUAAAAUAUUAUACAGAUAGUGAUUUCUGUAGUGACUUUCAAAAUGAGCAAGAUAACUUAAACAAAUAACUUUGUUACUAAAAACCAAAAAAAAAACUGAUCUUUUCU